This 636-nucleotide ribosomal RNA is filed under the name uncultured Marinobacter sp. RNAcentral describes it as "bacterial SSU rRNA". It matches the Rfam family "Bacterial small subunit ribosomal RNA", at positions 870 to 1504 of the family's 1533-position model. Lineage: Bacteria; Pseudomonadati; Pseudomonadota; Gammaproteobacteria; Pseudomonadales; Marinobacteraceae. The record is from RNAcentral.
CGCCUGGGGAGUACGGCCGCAAGGUUAAAACUCAAAUGAAUUGACGGGGGCCCGCACAAGCGGUGGAGUAUGUGGUUUAAUUCGACGCAACGCGAAGAACCUUACCUGGCCUUGACAUCCAGAGAACUUUCCAGAGAUGGAUUGGUGCCUUCGGGAACUCUGAGACGGGUGCUGCAUGGCCGUCGUCAGCUCGUGUCGUGAGAUGUUGGGUUAAGUCCCGUAACGAGCGCAACCCCUAUCCCUGGUUGCUAGCAGGUAAUGCUGAGAACUCCAGGGAGACUGCCGGUGACAAACCGGAGGAAGGUGGGGAUGACGUCAGGUCAUCAUGGCCCUUACGGCCAGGGCUACACACGUGCUACAAUGGCGCGUACAGAGGGCCGCCAACUCGCGAGAGUGAGCCAAUCCCUUAAAACGCGUCGUAGUCCGGAUCGGAGUCUGCAACUCGACUCCGUGAAGUCGGAAUCGCUAGUAAUCGCGAAUCAGAAUGUCGCGGUGAAUACGUUCCCGGGCCUUGUACACACCGCCCGUCACACCAUGGGAGUGGAUUGCACCAGAAGUAGUUAGUCUAACCUUCGGGAGGACGAUUACCACGGUGUGGUUCAUGACUGGGGGUGAAGUCGUAACAAGGUAACCGUA